Centruroides sculpturatus (bark scorpion) is the source of this 1179-nucleotide long non-coding RNA. RefSeq lists it as uncharacterized. The record is from RefSeq and is a predicted model, not a curated record. Lineage: Eukaryota; Metazoa; Arthropoda; Arachnida; Scorpiones; Buthidae. The transcript has 4 exons.
GUUCCUCCAACAAAGAUCGAAGUGAAUAAAGACUUCAGAAAGCAAGAGGAUAGCACGGAGAAUAGUUUUGGAUAUAAUAUUGGCUAUUCUAUUGGAUAUACCAUUGGAUGUGCUAUUAGAGAUAGAAAGGCAUUGAAAAAAGCCGGAUCUUUCUUCAAGGCAGUAUGGAAACCAGUCAAGAGAUCAGCGCAAAAGGUGUGGAAAAACAUGAAGACUGGACAAACUGAAUACGUUCAGUUUGAAUAAGGAUCUCUUUUUCUCCAUCAUUGAAUCAAGUAUAGGAUUUAUCUGCUUGAUUUCGUCCGAGUUCGUUUCGGAUUUUAGAAGAAAUUUAGAGAUUUUCAUCUCUACGCAGUGUACAUACACUGUUUUCUUUAUUUGUUAUGUUUAUUGUUUUGUUUGUGUUUGUUCGUUUUCAAUUUAAAAAAAAUUUAAAAAUUUGAAAUUUAAAAUAUAUUUCUUGAUUAAUGGAAUUGCUCACCUGUAUUGAGAAUGAUUUGAAUACUUCUAAUUAUAUGGACUUAACGACUGUGGCUUCCUCGAACUUGACUUUAUCUCGAUUAUGGCACUUUAACUCAAUUGUGACUUCCUUAAUUUUGACGUUAUCCCGAUUUUGACUAUAAUUUUAAUUAUAUCCCGAUUGUGACGUCUCGAUUAUUGAUUUUAACUGGAUUGUGACUUCACCAAUUUUGACUUCCAAUUGCGUCCUCUCGAACCUUGUCUUUACUUUGAUUGUGACUCUUCUAAUUUGAAUUUCUAAUUGUGUCUACCCGAUUUUUGGCUUUCGAUAAUUGUGUCCGUUGUUUGUUUUGUUGAUGAUGAAAUUAUUUGCCAAGUAUCAAUAAAUUCACCAAGUCGUGACAUUGAACCAAACAAAACAAGAAAAAGUAGACACGGUUUCGACAAAUAAAUAAAACAAGAUUUCUGAAAUAUUAAAAGAUACACAUCAUGAAAUGAUUACGGACCCUGAUCCUGAACUUCUAUGAUUAAGAAGCAUUCGGAGAGUUCGAGAGAAAGGACUUCAAAAAUUAUCGACAAGCAAACAACAUGGAUUCAUUCGAAUUACAUUGAAUUAAACGCGUGCAUAGUGCAGCUGCAAAAGAAAGGAAUUUUAAUCAAUCUAAGAAUGCUUCGGAAAGAUGUUCUCCACAGUUUUCCACAGUUCUGGCAUUGCAUCAA